CCAUGCUUCUCGUCGUCGCCGCCGAAGGGGAGAGGGAGAGAGAGCGCCGUCGAACAGAACACGAGAAGGGAGAGGAGCUGUGUUCUGUUGUUGACGUCGCACCACCGCCACGCCGCCGUGCUGUGCGAAGUCACCGCCGUCGCCUCGAUCCUCGCAGCCUCGCCGUCGCCUCGAGCCUCGCCGUCGCCUCGAGCCUCGCCGUCGUCGUCCUCGGCCCGAACCCUUGCCGCCGCGACUGUGGUUGCCAGAAACGGUGUUGUGGCCAUCAGAACUGCUUGGAGAUUGCUGCUGCUUCUUCUAUCUCUGUUCAG
RNAcentral lists this long non-coding RNA (311 nucleotides) under Arachis ipaensis. Its description in RNAcentral is "long non-coding RNA (AIPA_LNC001053)". The record is from RNAcentral. Lineage: Eukaryota; Viridiplantae; Streptophyta; Magnoliopsida; Fabales; Fabaceae.